Molecule: transfer RNA, 84 nt
Filed under: Eremothecium sinecaudum
Lineage: Eukaryota; Fungi; Ascomycota; Saccharomycetes; Saccharomycetales; Saccharomycetaceae
Description: tRNA-Ser
Rfam family: tRNA
About the family: Transfer RNA (tRNA) molecules are approximately 80 nucleotides in length.
Source: RNAcentral
AGAAAAUUGACUGAGUGGUUUAAGGUGUAAUAUUUGAGCUAUUAUAAAUGCUAAAUUUCAUAGGUUCGAAUCCUAUAUUUUCUG